This 1497-nucleotide long non-coding RNA is filed under the name Anolis carolinensis (green anole). RNAcentral describes it as "lncRNA (ENSACAG00000037686.1)". The record is from RNAcentral. Lineage: Eukaryota; Metazoa; Chordata; Lepidosauria; Squamata; Anolidae.
AUGGGCAGAAUGCUAUCCCCUUCCUGUGUGUGUAUUUUUAAAGUUGUUUUGUUUAUUGUAUAUACUGUAAGAAUGUGUUUUGCUGUAGUGGUGGUUAGACAGGCCUUACCUAAACCAAGGAGCAAGCUGCUUUCCUGCUUCCUCUCCUCACCUCUGCGUGAACUCUGGCUCAGAAAGCUUCAACAGGAAGCCAACACUUUCAAUAACAAUAGCCUUGCCUCACCUUCCAAACAAUGGCAGAACAGCAAGCCUUAAUUACAGCUAGCCCACACUCAAGAAUCAGCCCAGACUCAGGUUUUUAAAGGUAAAAGAGUCCAACAAACACAGGUUUUUAAGGCUUUUAAGGCUAUCUAAGAAAAGAGUAGGCAAUCUAAGAAAAGAGUGCACACUCUCAGGUUUUUAAGGAAUUAUUAGACAGGCCUUACCUAAUCCAAGGAGCAAGCUGCUUUCCUGCUUCCUCUCCUCACCUCUGCGUGAACUCUGGCUCAGAAAGCUUCAACAGGAAGCCAACACUUUCAAUAACAAUAGCCUUGCCUCACCUUCCAAACAAUGGCAGAACAGCAAGCCUUAAUUACAGCUAGCCCACACUCAAGAAUCAGCCCAGACUCAGGUUUUUAAAGGUAAAAGAGUCCAACAAACACAGGUUUUUAAGGCUUUUAAGGCUAUCUAAGAAAAGAGUAGGCAAUCUAAGAAAAGAGUGCACACUCUCAGGUUUUUAAGGAAUUAUUAGACAGGCCUUACCUAAUCCAAGGAGCAAGCUGCUUUCCUGCUUCCUCUCCUCACCUUAUGCUAGUGUUGUGGCCCAAAGGAUUCCAGUCUACAUAGUUUGUGUUUACAUCUCUGCAUCAUAGGAUUAUGAUCAAUGAGUUUCCUUCAUUACAGUCCUUCAUAAAUAGAUCGUUGAUAUUUGUUUUGCCAUGUUCAUUGAUAUACCAUAUAUUUAUGCAUCCUCUGCAGCCAGCUGUAAAUCUCACUCUCAUAUACUUUCUAAAUCACAGUACUGUCAUACAGUUAUGAAACGUGUCCCAUCCAUUACAGUUUCUUCCACCAGUCAUGAUAAAGACUCUGUUCCUAGAAUUUGACCAUAUAUUCGCUUUCUUAUAUUUUCCCCCCAGCUCCAACUUGUAUCAGAAUCAUUGUGCAGCUACUGAGUGUUUGUUGUAAAUCCCCUUCCUAAACUUUCAGCUCAGAAUGUAGAGAUUCAUUGGCUCGUCAACAAAGAUCCCUAUAAGGCCGCAAAGCAGAAAUAUACGUAGCAGGGUCGUUGUAUGUCUUUUGGGCUGUGUGGCCAUGUUCCAGAAGCCCGAAAGACAUACAACAACCCUGUGAUCCCGGCCAUGAAAGCCUUCGACAACACAUUAUACGUAGCAGAUUUCAGAAAUAAAAGUAUCUGUGCUACAAUGAAAAUUAACAUAUUUCCAAUAUAGAAAUUCAUCAUAAAAAAGAGGGUCCCACUCUACAUACAAAUUUUAAUGUACUAAUACAUAUAUAUAUAAU